Molecule: long non-coding RNA, 2702 nt
Organism: Heterocephalus glaber (naked mole-rat)
Lineage: Eukaryota; Metazoa; Chordata; Mammalia; Rodentia; Bathyergidae
Source: Ensembl
GGAUCCAUGGGGUUUAAUGUGCCAAGGGUUCAUCUUUCCCAUGAGCGUACCAAUCGGAGUUGGUUACAACUCCUGGCUCUGCCGAACUAACUGCGCUCUGGCUUGGGGACAGUGUCCCUCAGCGCAAGUCAGGGAGUGUUUCAGAGACAGCCCUUCUGGGUAAGAGGAGGGUCUGAGUUCUCCCCUGGGAGGUGCUGGGGCUGUGUCCCAUCCAAUCACGUGAUCGCUCUGCUCUGGCUCCCCCUGCAGGUGGGGUGGGUGCGGCCCAGGGCCUCAAGUUGGAGCUGAAAUUGGGCCUGGCACCCUGGAAGUCCGCUGAGGGAUGGGUCCCUUAGGAGGGACAGGAGCAGCUAGCAGCUGAGGCCGGACAACUUCCCAGAGCCAGGGGCGGGCAGAGUUAACUCCAAGAUCUAAAAACAUCAAGUUCCAGGACGGAGUACCCGACCUUGAGAAGUCUAGGCUGCUCCCCCAGAACACACACAGCCCUGACUCCCCUUGACAGGAGGCCGGCACCGUGUACCAGGACCAUCACCAGGGUCCAGGCUUGGGUGGAUGAAGACAGCCCAGCCCAGCAUGGAGGCCGGGAAGGCGGGCCUGGAGUCCGUCACUCAUUCCUGAAAUGACCAGAAGGCGGUUCGAGGGACCUCCAGGUGCUGAGCUGCUGCUGACAAAGCACGGGUGGGGGUGGGAGAGAGGCGAAGAGGGGGAAGGCAGGGGACCCACACCAGUUUCAAAGGCAGUGAGCCACUGCAGGGGCCAGGCGCUUGGCUGGCUCCACACGCCAUGCGCUGGCCCCAACCCACCUGGCUCAGGCCUCUCUCCUCUGCUUUCCUGAAGGCUGUGCUUGGGUUUUCAGGGCCUGCUCCCGUCCUACGAUGACACCAUCUCUUGGGCCCUCACAAGAGCGGACUCCCCUGGCCCUGGGGCGCAGGGCCCUUCCCCACUUGGCUCACCAAGUCCAAAGGCCUGGGCCCCACUGUCCAGGGCUUCCUUCCCCAGCCAGCCAUCCGCCUACCCGUCCCUGCUUUCAGGACUUUGGGGCCUGUGCCCUGAGGCAGGAGACUAGGGCACUGCAGGCUGGCUGAAAAUAGGUUUCGGAUGUAACCCAAGCCUGACUGGAGACUGAUCAACAGGAUGUGAUGUGUAGCAUCACAGCCAGGCUGCGUGGGCAGAGCAGCUUCCUCCCAGUCAGAGUCUGGGGAGGAUCCGAAAGACAGUGGCCACUGACCGCUGCCUCUGAGACCCUGCUGUCCCGAUGCUUCCUGUUUUUGCAGUGGCCAUCCUGCACCCGGUCCGUAUCUCUUCUUGCUGUUCUCUUCUGCACUUUCCCUUUCUUUCUCUACCUUAAAUGAAAGUUGUGUCCACCCAUUCAUCUGCUGUCCCUGCCAAUUCUUUGGGCAGGACAGGAAGAGCCUGGGGUCCCCAGGACCUGGCACCAUCCAGCCGCAGCCUGGGACCCAGCAGCUCAUUCCCAGCUGCUGUCUGUGCCUGAUAUCCCUGGACUUCGCACACAGCAGGAGGAGGGGCCCUCUGACCAGGGGCCGUGUCCCUCCCAGCCCAGGCCUCCCGGAGGCCCAUCUGUGUCAGUUUCCCAGGGUGGUGGUCACAGAUGACAGCAGAGCUGUCUUCUCGCACAGUUCUGCAAGGCAAGGCUGAAAUGGAGUGGCGGCAGGGCCCCGUCCCGACCCCCCUGCCUUCCCCAGCCCCUGACCCCUGGCCACUGCAGUCUUUGCCUCUGGCUUUCCUGGUCUCCCCUCUUUCCCCACGUCUGUCCUCUGCAUGUCACUGCAAAAGCCCUUGUGUUGGAUGAUCGGCUGAGCGCAUCUCGAGGCUCCCUGGGGUGACUGCACUUGCAAUUUCACACACUGGUAGGCUCCUCGGAUAGGACUCCAGCACAGGCUCUUGGGGCCACCACUCGACCCCGACAGCAUCUCCUGAGACACUCCCAGGUCACGGCAUGGCUGCCGCCAUCCUGCCUCCCCCCGCCGUCCCUCUGGCUCACGGGGUGCUCCAGCCCCGGGGCUUCCUGACACUCUUCAGGGCCGGUCACCGGUCUGGCACCAGGGGAGGCCUCCUCCCACCGCGUCAGAGUGCACCUCAAACACUCCUCUCCAUGCUCCAUCUGCCCCUGAUCACCACCGCGGAGCCAGUCACCGCUUCAUCUUGUUCUCCUCCCCCCUGCAGCAGAAGCCAGGGAAGUUUGUAAGUUCUGCCUUGUUCUUGUGGUGCUGGGGAUUGAACCCAGGGGCACUGAGCUACAGCCCCAGCUCUUUGGUUAAGUUUUUACUUUGAGAUGGGGUCUUGCUAAGUCGCCCACGCUGGCCUCUGACUGCAGCCUCCUGAGUAGCUGGGAUGGCAGGUGUGCGCCUGCCUCACCCGGCUAAAUCCCACUGCUGUGUCCCAGCAGCCAGUAUAAUGCCUGGCACUGGCUGGCUGUGGCUGAGUGGAUGAAUAAGCAAGCCUUUGCCAGAGCUGAACUCUCAGCUGCCAGGAGUCCACGGCCACCUGAAGAUCACCACAGCUCCCUGCAGGCCUCCGCUACCCUUGGACUCUCUGGGGGCUCCAAUCCCGGCGUGGCCGCCUUUUCAAGUGCACGAGUCCGGAGAGGGGCCAUGUGGGUCUAGAACAUGCUUCCUCACGCACAGCACAAAGCAGCUGUGGGCCUUGACCCUUCAGCGCCCCUCCUUCCUGGCCCGGCCCAG